This 429-nucleotide ribosomal RNA is filed under the name Acidobacteriota bacterium. RNAcentral describes it as "Acidobacteria bacterium partial 16S ribosomal RNA". It matches the Rfam family "Bacterial small subunit ribosomal RNA", at positions 355 to 776 of the family's 1533-position model. Lineage: Bacteria; Pseudomonadati; Acidobacteriota. The record is from RNAcentral.
UGGGGAAUUUUGGACAAUGGGGGAAACCCUGAUCCAGCCAUCCCGCGUGUGCGAUGAAGGCCUUCGGGUUGUAAAGCACUUUUGGCAGGAAAGAAACGUCAUGGGUUAAUACCCCGUGAAACUGACGGUACCUGCAGAAUAAGCACCGGCUAACUACGUGCCAGCAGCCGCGGUAAUACGUAGGGUGCAAGCGUUAAUCGGAAUUACUGGGCGUAAAGCGUGCGCAGGCGGUUCGGAAAGAAAGAUGUGAAAUCCCAGGGCUCAACUUUGGAACUGCAUUUUUAACUACCGGGCUAGAGUGUGUCAGAGGGGGGUGGAAUUCCGCGUGUAGCAGUGAAAUGCGUAGAUAUGCGGAGGAACACCGAUGGCGAAGGCAGCCUCCUGGGAUAACACUGACGCUCAUGCACGAAAGCGUGGGGAGCAAACAGG